Molecule: ribosomal RNA, 429 nt
Filed under: Chloroflexota bacterium
Lineage: Bacteria; Bacillati; Chloroflexota
Description: Chloroflexi bacterium partial 16S ribosomal RNA
Rfam family: Bacterial small subunit ribosomal RNA
Source: RNAcentral
UGGGGAAUAUUGCACAAUGGGCGCAAGCCUGAUGCAGCCAUGCCGCGUGUAUGAAGAAGGCCUUCGGGUUGUAAAGUACUUUCAGUCGGGAGGAAGGUGGUAAGGUUAAUAACCUUAUCAAUUGACGUUACCGACAGAAGAAGCACCGGCUAACUCCGUGCCAGCAGCCGCGGUAAUACGGAGGGUGCAAGCGUUAAUCGGAAUUACUGGGCGUAAAGCGCACGCAGGCGGUUGAUUGAGUCAGAUGUGAAAUCCCCGGGCUUAACCCGGGAAUUGCAUCUGAUACUGGUCAGCUAGAGUCUUGUAGAGGGGGGUAGAAUUCCAUGUGUAGCGGUGAAAUGCGUAGAGAUGUGGAGGAAUACCGGUGGCGAACGCGGCCCCCUGGACAAAGACUGACGCUCAGGUGCGAAAGCGUGGGGAGCAAACAGG